This 74-nucleotide transfer RNA is filed under the name Spirochaetaceae bacterium. RNAcentral describes it as "tRNA-Ile". It matches the Rfam family "tRNA". From Rfam's summary of the family: Transfer RNA (tRNA) molecules are approximately 80 nucleotides in length. Their secondary structure includes four short double-helical elements and three loops (D, anti-codon, and T loops). Lineage: Bacteria; Pseudomonadati; Spirochaetota; Spirochaetia; Spirochaetales; Spirochaetaceae. RNAcentral also lists the same sequence under 1 other name. The record is from RNAcentral.
GGGCCUGUAGCUCAGUCGGUUAGAGCGCACGCCUGAUAAGCGUGAGGUCGCUAGUUCGAUUCUAGCCAGGCCCA